Non-coding RNA from Phalacrocorax carbo (great cormorant), 5212 nucleotides. NCBI's taxonomy places the organism in Eukaryota, Metazoa, Chordata, Aves, Suliformes, Phalacrocoracidae. The record is from RefSeq and is a predicted model, not a curated record.
AACAGAAUUUGAAAGCAGCCGCCGCCGCGACCUGGACCAAUGAUCUGGGCAGAGCGGCGGGGAAGUUUUGGCUCGGGGUGUCUGGCGCCCGUUACGAAUGCCAGCCUCGCUCUCCCGGCCCCACGUGGAGCCCCCGCACUCCCUCCGGCCCGGGGGGCUGCCUCGGCCCCGGGCUCCCCCGGCCUGCCAGGGCGAUUCCCUGGCCCUUCGCUGAAACAGAAGCAGCAGAAAAGGUUUUUCGACCAGCAUAAAUGAAAAAAAAGGCUGGUUUUUUUUUGUGUCAUUAAGCCGGGCUGGCCGGUGGUGCUCAGAAGCAUGCAGCUGGAGGAAGCGGCGGCGGGCUCUGGCUCCGGACGAUGCGGGGAAGGAGCCGCGGUUCGGGGACCUCCCUGGCCACGCUCCAGGGCAGCCUGAGCAACCCUGCCUGCAGCCUGCAGUCUCCCAUGCCUGCCUACGCUGGGUUUGACCGGAGGAGAGGUCAACCAUCCUAGAACCUGCCAGAAACACGAGAAAAACCCGCUGGAAACAGUGAGCUUUGUUGCAAUAUGAAAAUCAAAUGCAAAGCUUGGUGGGUAUUUUUAGCUGUUUAAGGCUGAACAGGUGUUUGAAAGGUCAGAUGUGAGUUAUUGGAAAAAAAAACAAAAAAAACUCUUGAGAACCUGGCAGCAUGGUGUUGUUGCUCCCGUGGCACUGGAUAGCCGUGGCGUGGCAGCCCUCGGCCAUUCGCACCACGCUGCGGUGGUCAGCCCCCAUCUGAUGGGUGCUUCGGCUUGCCAGCCCCACCGAGCCCUCCCCCCCGGCGCGCGCCACCCGCGGCGGCAGCACCCAACCGGGGAGCGCAUCGUUGGCUUUGGGUGCUCGUCGGUCCCGAGGCAGGCAGGGGUUACGGGAUGUGGGAACGGCCUGGGUCGGCUUGGAGCUCGUCUGGCCGGGCUGGCGUCGUGUGCGUCAACAGUGUGUGCACAAGGCAGUCAUGAGUGUCUGGGGAGGGGGGGGGUGAAUGUGGAAAGGUUGACUUCCGAUGGACGCGGGGCUCUGUGGCGGUGAGGCUUUCACAUGGCUUUUUCCAUGAGAAAAAUUGUUUUUAUUUUCCUUUUCAAGGAAUAAAGGAAGUUUGUCAUCCUUAAAACAACACUGCAUGUGGUUUUAAUUAGUUACUAAAGCAAAAAUUUAAGAGCACAGAAAGAAAGGGCCUGUCUCUUGGGGAAGACCCAGAUGAUGUGUCUUUAGUGGACCUGGGCCGUGACUACCCUGGACCUGGCCAUGGCCAACCCAGACGACGGCCAACCUGGACCAUGACCACCUUCAACUUGGCCAUGACCAACCUGGGCCACGACCACCUUUGAUCAUGGCCAUGGCUGGCAGCCUGGGCCAUGACCACCUUUGACUUGGCCGUGGCCAACCUAGCCCUGGCGAUGGCCAGGCUCAUGCCCAAAGGCGAGACCCUUGGCUCUGCGCCGCUGCAUGCUGCCGGCAUGGCAGCGGCUCUCUUCCCGAGGUCACUGGGUUCCGGCAGGCGAUGAGCUCCUUCCAACAGGAGUCACACCAAAGCUAAACGGAGAGCACGAGGUGUGACGACUUGCCCGCACAGGCCGGUUGGCUCCCGAACGCCAAUGGGACCAAAGAGCCAUGGGCAGAGCGUGGCCGGCAGCUGCCAGAGCCUCGGCUGGGCAAUAAAGCCUUUUUUUUUUGAGUUAAAGAAGCCCCAAAAAUAGCACCUGAAACCAAUAAACUUCCCUUUCAGGAACUUCUGUAAUUUGAAACACACACAAGAACAAAAAAAAAAAAAAAUCCAGAAUUUUUUUGAAGUUGUUUGUCAAGGAGGACUUUUUGGGGUUGUUUUUAAAUACAUUUCAGCUGAUGGGUGCCGGGGUGCGCGAGCACUUGGCACAGCAGCUCCCAGCACGGGCUGUGGCUUCCCGGGGACUUCUCAAUCUGCUUUUCCCUCCAAUCUCUUCCUGCCUUUCAGCCUUCCCAGCUGACGCACGGUCCCACCGCAUUGCGUCACGCAGCCCAAACUCCGGCCACCCAGCUGGUAUUUCGGAAUAAAUGGCUAAAAAUAUCCCCCCACAGACACACACAGACACACACACGCCGUGCCUGGCGCACAGGACGGGCCAGCAGCUCAUCGCCUUUGAGCAAAAGGGAAAAAAAAAAAAUAUCAAGCACGGGGCCCACCACCACGCUGACCGCUUGGUUCGUGCCUGCCGCAUCGCCGCAGACCUUCAAAACGGGAAUUAAACGGGACGCCAGGCAAGGAGCGGGGGGAAGCAGCGCCGGCCCGGGGAUGCGGGUGCGAUCGCCUCGGGAAGCAUCGGCUGCUCCUGCAGGUCCCGCCUUGCCCCUGCCCGCCCCGUUUUUGGCAUGCAACGGGCUCCCUCCCUCCGUGACAACCGUAUCGAUCCUCUUAUUUAUCAGCCUUUAAGACAAUUUAUUGGCGUCUCCCGAAAAAAGCCUGCGCGCCCUGCUCCAAGUGCCAGCCCCACUGACUUUAGGGAGCGCUGCCAUCACCUCUCACCUGCUCCUUUCACGCCAGAAGCCGCACUGGAGGAAUCUCACCAGAAUAUCGCUGCAAACCGCGGCUGAUGCCGUCGGUUACCUGCCGUCUAUUACCGGCGGUGAAAUCAAAGCAAGAGGAGCAAGCGGGGGACAGGCAGGGCUGGAAGCAUCCCCUUCCCGCUCCCCCGGGGGCUUGGCCACCAGACAGCGGGGAGGGCUUUGAGAAGGGGGCAGAAAUGGGACAGACGGCCAAGGCAGAAGCGAGGUGAGACGGUAAUCUUUACAAGAAGAUUUUGAUUAAAAUUAAAAAUCUUUAAAAUAAAAUGUAAAAUAAUAAAAUCAAAAUGACAAAAAUUCAUAAAAAUAAUGUAAAAUUAAAAAUACUAAUAAAAUAAACCCCCAUGCAUCCCCCAAAUUUUUCAACAACUAUGAAAACCACCCAGGGACACACAGCACCCUGCCAGCACCGGGAGGUGCCCAGCGCUUGGGUUUGAGCCCAUGGAUGCAGCCCGUGUCUACAGAGCCCCAAAAAUACAUCUGUGCCCAUAAAUAUGGGGAAAAGAAGGAAGAAAACCCCGAAGCUCUCCCAGCUGGGGCUGCAGAGGUGCUGCUUUUGGGUUUGGAUGUGCUCGAGGCAACAUCUUGCAAAGCAGCUUCAUUUCACAGACGCAUUUUAAUGUCCCGGGAGCCUCCGAGCAGAAGGAGACCCUGGGUACGCGCCUGCGCCCUGAAUCUGGGUAAGAACUGGUGAUAAAUCAGCAAAUAUCCCCUUCCCCAGCCCUUCCUCAGGUGAUCAGGCCCGAAGAAAGAUCCCCCAAAGAAAACAGCACUCAGGACAAAUAGUUGGAAGUUUUUAUUCAUAUAAAACUCAAAUUAAGAACAUAAAAGAUUGCAUCUUAAAAAAAAAAAAAAAAAAAAAGAUCUGCAAUUAUUUACAGCAGUAUUGCACGAGUAGAGUGGCAAUUACCCUGUCCAAAAUUCAUCAGUGCAAAACACAAGUAAGCCAGGGAAAUUGCAGUAAAAAUGCUACAUACGCUGGGUCCUGUGAAACAAGUUAGUAAUUCAUCAGCACAUCGGCGUGCGCUGGGGCGGUACCUGAUGUUACAGCUGGUCCAGGGAAAGUGGCUGAGACGGAGGAAAAUGUGGCUUUGAAAAGGGGGUGGCAAAAACCGCAGGGAUGGAGAAGCCAAAUUCCCACUGAAUUUCACUGAUGUUGAAGUCUUUGACGUGCCUAAAUCACUACUGGGACGUGGGACUUAGGCACUUCGAGGAAAAAAAAGGAUAAUAAUCUCAUUAUCUGAACCAUCCUGGCUGCGCUGCCAGAAGGCAGCGCUUUCGAAGGUGAUCCGGCGCUUGUUGCAGGGGCAGGGAGGAGCGGAGGGGGAAACCAAAAUCUUUACAGGAACUUAAAUAAGCAGAAAAUAAAUAUACAACAUUUCUACAAGUUACAGCAUUAUGGAACAGUAGAGUGCAUUAAUUACACGGGGUGGGGGGUGGGGGAGGGAAGAAUCUACAGUAUUUACCAAGGUCAAAUCUAAAAAAGUUUAGGGGAAAAAAAAAAAGUAACUUUUUCCUUUUUUUUUUUUUUUUUUACUUAUUCAUAAGCUGUACAAAACUUACAUGAGAGAAAGGAAAGGAAAUACAUUGCACACAGAUAUUUGGCUCAGAUGAUGAAAAUAAUAUGGUGCCCUACUCUAAUAAAUAUUCAGGUAUUUACAGUUAUGGAAAAGAGAAGCGUUAACGCAUUGGGUGAGAUCGCCUGGGAAUAAAUCUGGUUUCCCCACAACCAAGGAAAACUCUUCAUCGUAUCCUUUUGGCAGAAAAGAGACCACAGGUUACGCUUAAAAUGACCCAGAGCAGUCAGCCAACGUGGCUAAAACGAGCAUAAUCACUAUUCUAAAAACAUCGUUCUUCUGUUUAGACACUUUUUGGUUUUGUUUUGGUUUUUUUUUCCCUAAACCUCACAACUCUACGGGGUUAAAACCUGGUUUUUGGGGGCUCAUUUUCCUAUGCCUAGCUUUCGGCCAGGAUCGCCUCCUGCGGAGAACUCCCAGGCGGACAGCGCCAAUACCUCCAUUUUUUUUUUCCCUUAAAAUUAAUACAAUUUUUGUCGCCAUCGUUGGCUGGGGCAGCCCGGCGGGGAGGACGGGGUAAAGUGCUCGGCAUUUCUUUGGUGUACUCCAAGGGACACAUUCUGGUCGGCGCGGUGCCGGUGGGAUGCCGGGAUGCUGUAAGGCUGCGAGAUCCGAAAGCACCGUUUCAUCCACCAGCAAUGGAUGAAACUCAACCAUAAAAAAACCCAAACUCGUUUGGUUUCCCAUCUGCUGCCAAAUUUCAUCAUUUUUUUUUGUUUUCCUUUUAAUUUUAUCAGCAGCCAUGCAAUUCCACGGAGGUUCCCAUGGGAAACCCGCGGCGGCAGCCUCCCUGCCAGGGUUUUCCUUAUAAACCCUACAGAAAAGAGGCGAUGGCUGGGGCACGGCUGGGGCAGCACAGCUACGGUGAGCCAAAACCAAGGGGACGAGGAGCAGGAACCUGCCCUGGCCAAGCUCCCCAGAGAUUUUAACCGCUCGCUCUCCACCAGUGCAAAGGUUCCCCCCACAGCCUCUCCAAAAUACCCUUUCCUAAACAUCCCCUGCUCCUGCAGCUGAGGCCAAACUCCUGCAACCCACGCUCAGUUUGCAGGUCCAAAAAUUGAUAAUAAAAUUAAUUUUUU